RNAcentral lists this ribosomal RNA (433 nucleotides) under uncultured bacterium. RNAcentral's name for it is "partial 16S ribosomal RNA". It matches the Rfam family "Bacterial small subunit ribosomal RNA", at positions 29 to 507 of the family's 1533-position model. The record is from RNAcentral.
AACGAACGCUGGCGGCAGGCCUAACACAUGCAAGUCGAGCGAGGACUUCGGUCCUAGCGGCGGACGGGUGAGUAAGGCGUGGGAACGUGCCCUUUGCUUCGGAAUAGCCCUGGGAAACUGGGAGUAAUACCGGAUGAGCCCUUUGGGGGAAAGAUUUAUCGGCGAAGGAUCGGCCCGCGUUGGAUUAGGUAGUUGGUGGGGUAAUGGCCUACCAAGCCGACGAUCCAUAGCUGGUUUGAGAGGAUGAUCAGCCACACUGGGACUGAGACACGGCCCAGACUCCUACGGGAGGCAGCAGUGGGGAAUCUUAGACAAUGGGGGAAACCCUGAUCUAGCCAUGCCGCGUGAGCGAUGAAGGCCUUAGGGUUGUAAAGCUCUUUCAGCUGGGAAGAUAAUGACGGUACCAGCAGAAGAAGCCCCGGCUAACUCCGUG